GAGAUACUGCCUCGCUUCGGCAACCUUGUAUACUAAAAUCAGAAGGACAAGGAAGAGAUUGGCAUGGCCCCUGCAUAAAGAUGACAGGCAAAUCCAUGCAGCAUUUCAUAGCGUU
Molecule: small nuclear RNA, 115 nt
Filed under: Meriones unguiculatus (Mongolian gerbil)
Lineage: Eukaryota; Metazoa; Chordata; Mammalia; Rodentia; Muridae
Source: RNAcentral